Monodelphis domestica (gray short-tailed opossum) is the source of this 1736-nucleotide non-coding RNA. NCBI's taxonomy places the organism in Eukaryota, Metazoa, Chordata, Mammalia, Didelphimorphia, Didelphidae. The record is from RefSeq and is a predicted model, not a curated record.
GUAUGACAAGAAAGAAGAAUGAUCAGACAGUCACUGAACAUUUCUCAAGUAUGUACCAGUCACUGGGUUAAGUGCUUGGGAUUAAAAAAUGAAAAACAGUCCCUGCUUUCAAGAAGCUUACAAUCUCAUACCGGAAUUGGAAUUAGUACAGGAUCUUGGCAGGAAUUCACAGAAUACACUUACUUGGAAGAAUGGUUGUAAAGAUAAUACUCAGAAAAAGAAGUGAAGCCACAGGCUCUGGCUGUCAAUGUACCAUUGCAAAGAAGACUAUUGGUGAUGAACAAUGAACACUAAAGAUGCUAACAAAAGGAAAUAAAUAACUCAUAACUACAACUGAAACUCAGGAGGGUUACUAAUCACUGCAACAGGAUGAAAGAAGGAUGUAACUUUUUCAAAAGGAAAUAUUCAGGUCUCAAAGAAGCAUUUCUUCUUAGCACUUAAAAGGAAGAGUCGUUUGGUUUUCUCAACAGUUUCCCAAAUCUCCAGGGUGGUCUUUCAACUCAGAGAGAGAGAGAGAAGGAUUCUUUUUAAUACUAAUGAAAAGCUAAGCUUUCCCCAAACUUAAAUAUGAUUUUAAAGUUGUCUUUGAGCUAUGAGUUCUUAGCAUAUAUUUUUGAUGUGCUCUCACGCUGUUACCUUUCCCACUGGAAUAUGUUUUGACGUUCUCUCCAGAGAUAUGAAAAAACCCUGCCCCCAGACCCCUGAGCUCUUGAGAUGGCAGACACUGGAAGAGCUGUUUCUUGAGCAGGGGUGAAGAUUCACUCUUAAAGACACAGGAGUAUGAGCAAGCUGGGCCACUCUUUGACAGAAGGUCAAUAAAUACCUGGGAAAACCUUACCAGGAAGUACUAAUAAGCUCAAGAAGAAACUUUGUAUGUAGUAGCUAUCUUGACCAAAAUUUGUUAAGAACUAUUUUAAUUAUUUGCAAGCCACUAGCCAAAGAACAACUUAUACUUACUCCUCUUAUUUUUCUUCUGACAUUAAGAAGAAUUCAUUAUUUCCAACUCAUCAGAGUUGUACCAAGUAUGUAAGCAAUUCUAGAUGUUGGUUUUUUGAAACACUCUAUGAAAAAAAUAUAUAUUUCUGCCACAUUAAAAGAGUAAUACCAGAUGUUGUGUUGAAUUAUGAAUUACCUGCUGUCAAUGAAAUAGUUUUCAAUCAGACUAAAGCAAAAAAAAGUUUAAAAGUAUGGAUUUCUUAUUUAAGCAGAGUCCAUUAAUUGUGGCCCAUAUGUGGUGUAGACUUACUUUUCAGAUCUAAAUUCCUGGCUCCUGCUGUGCUUUGGGUGGUGAUUUUGGUAUCAAUCUUGACUGUGUGGAGAUUGUUGGUGUCCCUAGAUAUCAUCACAUUGUGCCACUGAUUGUCGUUGAGUGGCUUAUUUGAGCUGCCUUUGAUGAGGUUAGCCCCAUUUCCCAAGUCAAAUACAUAAUGCAAGUACCUAAGGAAAGAAAAGAGAGGUGAGCAAUGGAAGGGCUUUCUGACUUGGAUCAAGUAAGAUAUCUACAUGGACAAGUAUAGUUGAAGACAUUUUUAAUUGCCUAGAGAAGAAACCAUAUGAAAAUAAUGCUUAUAAAAAGAUAAAAAAUAGCACAUUUUUGUAACAGGAGAGAUGGAUCAUUGUGCAUCCAGUGGAAUUUAAAGAAGCUUGAUGGAAAGAACUAUUUUUCAUUUUUAUCAUUGUAUUCUCAAUACCUCAAAGUGCAUGAUUAUUGAAUAAUAAAUGCUUGCCAAAUGGGA